Molecule: long non-coding RNA, 458 nt
Filed under: Capsicum annuum
Lineage: Eukaryota; Viridiplantae; Streptophyta; Magnoliopsida; Solanales; Solanaceae
Description: long non-coding RNA (CANN_LNC016744)
Source: RNAcentral
UCCAUUUGCAUUUGACAAAUUCGCUCAAUUUCCUAAAUUUACAAGCUUAGAGUUAUCUCCUUAAAUUUUAUAUCCAUUUCCGUAAAGAAAAAGAAGAAGGAAAAAAACCCGAUAAGAAGAAAAAGAAAAAGAAAAUGUAAAAAGGAAAAGAAAAUCUAGAAAUCUUCUCAGUCGACCUGCCUAUCAUAAGGGGACAUCUAUAUAUUUAUUUUAAUUGUUUAAAAUAUAUAUUAGUGAAAUAAUUUUUUAAAAUACUUUUUUAUGUGGAUCUUGAGUUUGGUGUAGCUUGGUUGGUAAUGCUCGAGUUGGGGGGAGGGAUGUCCUUUGUUGGUUAAUGUACUUUAUUUUUGUGGUUGUUGUAUCUCUGUUAUUUUUAUCAUAUUGUAUGCUUGCGACAUUUGUCUACGGUCCUUUGUUUUAAGCCGGGGUCUAUCGGAAACAACCUCUCUACUUUUUCG